AUGUCGUGUAGAUGGGGAUUAGUGACUG
This 28-nucleotide non-coding RNA is filed under the name Bombyx mori (domestic silkworm). Lineage: Eukaryota; Metazoa; Arthropoda; Insecta; Lepidoptera; Bombycidae. The record is from RNAcentral.